UUACCAUGGUAAGGACUUAUUCUGAGCAACUCCUUAAAUUUUCCCAAGCCUCAUACAAACUUUCAUCUUUAAGUUGAUGAAAAGAGGUGAUUUCGUUCCGUAGUUU
This 106-nucleotide small nucleolar RNA is filed under the name Citrus sinensis (sweet orange). RNAcentral describes it as "Plant small nucleolar RNA R71". It matches the Rfam family "Plant small nucleolar RNA R71". Rfam says of the family: R71 is a member of the C/D box family of snoRNAs containing the C (UGAUGA) and D (CUGA) box motifs. Multiple nearly identical copies of this snoRNA have been identified in Arabidopsis, and it is thought to function as a 2'-O-ribose methylation guide for 18S ribosomal RNA. Lineage: Eukaryota; Viridiplantae; Streptophyta; Magnoliopsida; Sapindales; Rutaceae. The record is from Rfam by way of RNAcentral.